GACGGAGGGUGCUAGCGUUGUUCGGAAUCACUGGGCGUAAAGGGCGCGUAGGCGGCUUCAGGUGUCGGAUGUGAAAGUCCAGGGCUCAACCCUGGGAUGCCGGUCGAUACUGCCGGACUAGAGUUCGGAAGAGGCGAGUGGAAUUCCCGGUGUAGCGGUGAAAUGCGCAGAUAUCGGGAGGAACACCUAUGGCGAAGGCAGCUCGCUGGGACGUUACUGACGCUGAGACGCGAAAGCGUGGGGAGCAAACAGG
This 253-nucleotide ribosomal RNA is filed under the name uncultured bacterium. RNAcentral describes it as "partial 16S ribosomal RNA". It matches the Rfam family "Bacterial small subunit ribosomal RNA", at positions 524 to 776 of the family's 1533-position model. The record is from RNAcentral.